Symphalangus syndactylus (siamang) is the source of this 340-nucleotide long non-coding RNA. RefSeq lists it as uncharacterized. The record is from RefSeq and is a predicted model, not a curated record. Lineage: Eukaryota; Metazoa; Chordata; Mammalia; Primates; Hylobatidae.
UCCUCAUUGAGGCCAUCUGAGAAUAGGGGCCAUCUGAGAAUGCAGGGGAGUGGACAUCGUGUGCAGACAGGGAGUCUGAUUGUGAAUGCCGCGGGGCUGAGCCCUGCGCCGACCUGGUCUGCUGGUGCUACCAGGCUUGAACGGUCUUCAGAUCCACUGCUAUUAGGCAAAUUACCUGGCUCCCGCUGAACCCCAGCACCUAGAACUAUGUCACACUCAUAGUAGGUCGCCGCAUUGGUUGAACAAAUGAUUUUGAAAGAAUGGAUGGCUUCCUCUGUGCCUGCAUUUCCUCAGAAGGUUGUAACAAAGAUUAAAUAGGAAAAUUCGUGGAAAGUUCAAU